ACAAGAUCAUCUCAGCAACCCUGAACCCCAUAGAGGACUAUAGGCAUUGUUCACAGAGAUGACACUGAACUGUAUCUGGCAAGUUCCUUGGAAAAAAAACAUCACUGCUAACCAAACCAGCGGCAUCCAUCUCUCCAGCAGGAAAGCAGUUCCCACCUCCCAGGACAACUCUGAGCCUUGCUUCCUGGUGAAGAUAAAGAAAACUGAAUUUUGACAAAACAGAAGAAGUACGAAGCUGCUUGAACUUCUGCAAUUUUAUAAAGACACAUGUUCAAAAUUUAAAUUAUGGGAGUGACUUCUCCUUUUUUUUCUCCCUUUUGGGAACCAAAUAAAGCAUUUGCUUUAUUUGCUGCAGGGUGAAAGAGUUGUCUUGACAAGGUACCAGGGUGAGGUCAAGUGUGAACGCCACAGUGCUCAGGCAGCUUCCUGAAGGUGUCUCAGGCAUCAAAGUGACAGGAGGAAAUCACUGGAGUGUGACAUCGUUUCAGAGAAAAUGCACCAAGACUUCCUUCUGAGGAAAACUUGUAAGAAGUGCAAAGAAAAGAAGGGGACGCUCUGGGGCAGGUGUCUUUCAUAGAUGAUUGUUAAACAUCGUUUGCCACAUCCUUACCUGCACUGGGUAUUUUCACUUAACGGAAUGAAAUAAAUUCUCUCCACUGCCUUAUCAGGCAAAAGAAAUAUCUCAUUUUCAUUAACAUUUCUCUUGUUACUAUUGUGAUUAGUAUUUUUAUAUUAAUGGCUAUUGAAUUUCCUCUAUGACCUUUCUAUUUAUAUCUCUGUUCAUUUCAAAAACAGUUGGGUAUAUGGAGUAAUUAUGUGAUAGGAAAAUCUCAGUGGUUUUCUUAUUGAUUUUGUAAGAUUGCCUUAUGUGUUAGGGGUUUUGACCUUUGGCAUCUUUGUCUUAAUUUUUAGUUUUGGUGGGUUUGUUUUUGUUUUUGAUUUUUGCAUAACAUCUUUGUAUCACAUGCUUUGCAUUGUGUGUCAUUCUACAAGCAGGCACAUUUCUCCCUCAGUAAAAUACUUCUCUUUUUUGAAAUUUACUUAGACUGUCUCACACCUUGUAUCUCCAAGUGAAUUUUAGAUUAGUUAAAUCAAGAACCAAGACAAAAUGCUCUGGAGGUUGAACAAAAGCUACAAAGUAAUUUGGUGCUGGCUUUCCAAGUCUCUAGUCAAAAUCAUUUCACUGGGCCUGUUUUCCCCCUGUUGAACUGACCACAUCAUGCAGCUCCUGUCCCAUCCUGGUACACAGAAGGCUCCAGUGCCUGUGGGGGUGGCAGGUGCUUCUUCCAGU
Molecule: long non-coding RNA, 1291 nt
Filed under: Zalophus californianus (California sea lion)
Lineage: Eukaryota; Metazoa; Chordata; Mammalia; Carnivora; Otariidae
Description: lncRNA (ENSZCAG00015014775.1)
Source: RNAcentral